AUUGAACGCUGGCGGCAGGCCUAACACAUGCAAGUAGAGCGAGCCGCGGACGGGUGAGCAAUGUCUGGGAAACUGCCUGAUGGAGGGGGAUAACUACUGGAAACGGUAGCUAAUACCGCAUACCAUCAGAUGUGCCCAGUUGGGAUUAGCUGGUGGUUGGGGUAACGGCUCACCUAGGCGACGAUCCCUAGCUGGUCUGAGAGGAGGACCAGCCACACGGGAACGGGGCAAGGGUCCAGACUCCUACGGGAGGCAGCAGUGGGAAAUAUUGGAAAAUGGGCGCAAGCCGAAUGCAGCAAUGCGGCGUGUGGGAAGAAGGCCUUCGGGUGGUAAAGCCCUUUCGGCGGGGAGGCGUUACCCGCAGAGGAAGCACCGGCUAACUCCGUGCCAGCAGCCGCGGUAAUUC
RNAcentral lists this ribosomal RNA (406 nucleotides) under uncultured bacterium. Its description in RNAcentral is "partial 16S ribosomal RNA". It matches the Rfam family "Bacterial small subunit ribosomal RNA", at positions 29 to 526 of the family's 1533-position model. The record is from RNAcentral.